UUGUAGGUGUGGAAGUGAAGCAACGAGAGAUCCUUCACGUUGCCAAGCUCCAGGCGGUGGAAGAGGAUGUUCGCCUUGGUUUCCGUACUGUAGUAGGGCAAGUAUGGAGGAGUGGGAGCAGGGUUUGAGUUUGUUAAAAUCCCAGGUUCUAGAGCACAUAACAAAUACAAAUGCUUUAGAAUGUUCACGAGAGAUCAGAGGAUGCUUUCAUCUCUUUCAGUCCCAGGCAGGAGGAUGAGGGUGAACAGUCGGGAUCAGUCUUACUUGUUAAGCCUGGCGGAGGUGGCACACACCUUUAAUCCUAGCACUUGGGAGGCAAAGGCAGACGGAUCUUUACAGACCUGGGAGUUAGAAGACAGGUCUUUCAGCCAAGAAGGGAAGAACUGAACUGUGGACUGAAGAAGGGAAUCUAGAAGCAUCAUCAGCUUCUUAGGGGGAGAUAAUUGCUUGUUUCGAGGAGCUGUCAUAUACACUGUAUGGUGUUUAAAGACAUUGCUAGCUCUACCUACUAGCUGUCAGGGGCAUUGCCUCUCAUCCUCAGUGUCCCAUCUCCAGACAUGAGCUGUUGUUCUUAAAGAGGCAGAACCAUUAUUUAAAACUAACCUAAUUAAAUUAAGUAGCCAAGAUACUAUGCCUUGAGUUUAUCUGCUGAUACAGACUGUACCUCAACAUCCCCCUCAACGAUUAAAGUAUAGUAAUUCUGUAACUGUGGGCUAUUGGUUUCAAAACCUCCCGCAGAUAACAAAAUACAUGCAUGCUCCAGUCCCUUAUGUAAAAUGUCACAGUAGUCACAUUCCCCCAGGCAUAUCCUCCCACGGUUGAUUUUUCAGGCAUGCCCAAGCUUCAGACAUUGAACCAUGAGAUCAUCAUCUAUGAAGUUCAUGCUUGAGAACAAUGCACAAAUGAGCUACAAAAAAGUGCACAAGCCACCCUCAUAAUGUUUUAGCUAAUUUUACAGUUUGUGUGUUGAACCACAUUAAUAGUUAUCCUCCGCUUCAGGCAGCUGUUGUCCACAGGUUUCACAUGCCUGUUAUACUAGAUAAUAAAAAUGUGGUCUAAAUAAUUACUAAGGGAACAGUGAAAAAAAUUUGUGCAUGUUUUUUACAUGUGUGUAUGUAUGUGUGUGGUAUGCCUCAUGUGUAUGUGUCCUCAUGUGUGUGGGCAGGUGUGUAUGCAUGCACAUUGUGGAGACCCGGGGUUGACUUUGGGUGUCUGCCUUCAUUGCUCUCUACUUUAUAUAUUGAGUCAGUGUCUCUCAUUGAGCUUGGACUCACUGUUCUGCUAGUCUAUUUAGCUAGCUUGCUCUGACUCCACCCUGUGUGCUGGAAUUCAAGGCUGGCCACCAUGCCUAGCUGGCUUUCACGUGGUCCUGGAGAUCACAACUCUGCUCCUUACAUUUUCAUAGCAAGUGUUUUACAUACUCAGUGAUUUCCUUGGCCAGUCUUUUUUUUUUUUUUUUCCCCCUGAGACAGGGUUUCCCCAUGUAGUCCUGACUGUCCUGGAAAUUGCUCUGUAGACUAGGUUGACCUUGGACUCAGAGAUCUGCCUGCCUCUGACUCCCAAGUGCUAGGAUUAAAGGCAUGUCCCACCACCAGCUGGCUAUUUUUUAAAAUUCUAUUUUUGAUCAAGGCUUGGUUGAAUCUGUGGAUGUAGAACCCUUAGAUAUGGAGGUGAGUGUAUGUUUGUUUUUAAAGCAAUGAGAUCAAACUGCCAAACUUAUGCUCUUCUACAGGUGAGGAGCAUCAGGAAAAAAAUAUGAGGGAAAUCAUGAUCUCAAGAAAAGAGACUUUGAAGAAACACCCCAGAUCGUUAAAAUACUACCGGUAGAGUAGUAAUUGAAGCAGAAACGUCUCAAGUCCCUCCCUUUUAUAAGCAAGGCCCCAUGGCAUGUACAAUGGCGCUAUAGUUUUGCAAGGGCAUUUGUCUUUGCCUAUGGCAUCUGAAGUCACUUCUUUAGCUAAUUCAUCACGACAGCCGGGGCCACCCAUUCAGAAACGUCUGAUGAAAAAUGUCUCUCAGAAAGUGAGACAAGUCCAAGCAUCCAGAUGAUGGGAUUUUGAACCUCUCCUGAAAGGGAGGCGACUUGUCUAUUUCAAAGUCACUAGAACAGGGGAUUCGAAUGCUUUUAUUGUAAGGAAAUAAUAAACAUUUGAGGUUAAUGAUGCACUAAAUCCUCUGAUUAUAUCAUUACACAAUGUAUGCAUGCAUUAAAGCAUCACUUGGUGUCCCACAAAUAUGUAUAAUUAUGUACAGCUUAGGAGAGUCUGUGGGUGAUGAGAAGGCAGAUGGCUUGAAGGAGAAAUAUAUUAUCACAGUGGUUUUCUGGUGAAAGACAAGCCAUUAAAAAAAAAAUGAAAGCACAGAGUAAAUCUGUCAAACAACUGGUAUUUUGACCAUUCUUUUAUUUCAGAUCCGCAAUUGCCAUUUAAACCUAGAAAAGGAAUAUAAUGAUGGAUGUGAAUCUCUGAGAGAACGCCACAGGAACUUAAUGAAUUUUUAAUCUUCUACUGAAAAAAAAAGUGUUCAUCAAGGAGAAAUCAUUACUGGCCACUGUAGUGGACAUUUGCUCUUUUAUGUUUGGAAAAUUUGAAAGGGAGGAAAGCAAGCUUGUCUCCAGCCACAGAAGACUAAAAUGACAACUCCAUCCUAUUCCAGCUUCUGUCUGAUGUGCCUGUCUGAUGGAGCCGGUGAUACGGGGACUGUGCGAACUGCAGUGUGAGGGGGUGGCAGCUGGCUCUGUGCAGCAGGUGGGAGCAGGGUGUUGGUGGAACAAGCCUUAGGCCGUGGUGACACCAGUGGGGGGUCUCUACCCCUCUGUCCAGCUCUCACAGGAAUUCUCUAACCAACCCCCCCUUUAAAAAUACUUUCCAUUUUUUUAGUUAAGUCAAUCAGCAAAAGGUUGCAUUGCUUCUAAGAACCCAGGGUGACAAGAUCGUGUUUGGGAAAGUUACUUUAACAGUAACAGAAUCAGAAAAUUAAAUUUCGCCAUAGCCGUAGUAAUACUAAUGAGAGUUAAUGCGCCGUGAAGGCCUACUUUGUGCCAUACCUGCUAAGCAUGCAUCUCAUUCAUUAACUCACCAAGUACACAGCUGGUAUAGAAACACAUGGCUAAGUACAAGCAUUCUGACAUCAGGGACCAUGCACCUAACAGUUGCCAAGUAAAGAUCAGCCUAUUUUGCUAGGAAUCUUUAGAUUUUUGCAGUGGUUUGAAUAAGUAUGACCCCCCAUAUAUUCAUGUGUUUAAAAGCUUGGCCCACAGGGAGUGGCACUAUCAGGAGGUGUGACUUUGCAGGAGUAGGUGUGGCCUUGUUGAAAGAAGUGUGUCACUGUGGGGGCCGCCUUUACGGUCUCAUGUGCUCAAACUAUACCCAGUGUGGGUGACAGUUUCCUUUCUGUUGCUUGCAGAUCAACAGGUAGAACUCUUAGCCACUUCUCCAGUACCACAUCUGCUGGCAUGCUGCCUUGCUUCCUGCCAUGACAAAAAUGGACUAAACCUCUGAGACUCAAGCUAUCAUGAAACGAGCUUCCAUGUUGGAGGAGCAAGGAGCCAAGGACUGCUCCCAGCUACCCCCAAAACUAGAGGACCUCAAUGGGACAGUAGUGAAGAUCCGGACUCUGUCACCAAUGAUGUGAGAAUGAAGCAGGUCCUCCCUCAGUCAAGCCUUCAGAUGGAACCCAAGAUCUCCUCAACACUUUGAGACUUGUGAGCCACACUGAAAUGCCACCUGCUAAGCCAUACCUAGGAUUCUUGGCCCACAGAAACUGCAAGGAACUCGGCUUCAGUUGGGCCAGACUCUCCGGGCGAACCACGAACCAAGAGAAACCCUUCUCAUCUAAGCUGCUUCAUGUCAGAUAUGGCAAAAGUAACUAACGAACAAACAAGAGUUUCCAGCGCCUAGGACACGGUUAGCAUCAGCGAGGAGGAGGCUCAAUCCCUCCGACUCUCAAAGUAAAAAUCGGUCUCCUUUCAUUUUGAGAUUAAUUCUUCCUCAGUUACAUAAAAUUCACCAUGGCUGGAGCAGUUGCUGAGUGCCGGGAACUCUACCGGGCCUCGCAGAGAAUUUCAGCAAAGACCUGCAAAGGCGUCCGAAGCCCAUUUGCAUGUGCUGCCCUGCUAAAAGCCGAACAAAGGAUCACUUACACCACCGCCACGGCGACUUUCCUGCAUAAUAGGGGGAAGUGCUGGCAGCCGCUGAGAUGCCUGCGUGGGGCGUGCGCCUCCGUCCUCACGGAGUUGUGUCUUUGUGGGGGCAUAACCCAACUCGUCGUGAGGAAACAGUGUGAAAAGGAGAACCCCUGAUGAGUUAUUUUUGUUUAGAAGGCUGUGUUUUUGUUUUAUUGCUUUCCUAUUUGGUCCACAAUUAUUAGAUGAUGAUCGUUUGAAAAAUGCUAUAAAUUACUGGUAUAAAUUCUCCACACACAACCCGUCUUUUAUUACAACACCAGAGAAGCACCACUUCCACAGCUAUUUCUGCUUUUAUUUAUUCUUUGCCACAUUUCUAGUAAAUUUCUUCAUUAUUGGCAGUGCUUACAUAAUCACAUACUAACACCUACAGGAAUGAAUCACAGCUCAUCUCGCAGAUUUAUGGCAUGCCUACAGAAAAAGCGCCUCCUGAUGCAAGCUUUAAGGCUUAAAUUAUCUCCUAAAAGCCCCACAACAGGCAAGUAAACAGCGUGAUUUAGAGAUCACAAUUAAAAAUGAAUCUGUUUAAACUCAUCUCUCCUUUAUUUAAACACCAAGACAAGAAGGAUUGGGAAACGCUAUUAAU
Long non-coding RNA from Alexandromys fortis (reed vole), 4769 nucleotides. RefSeq lists it as uncharacterized. The record is from RefSeq and is a predicted model, not a curated record. Lineage: Eukaryota; Metazoa; Chordata; Mammalia; Rodentia; Cricetidae. The transcript has 3 exons.